GAUGAACGCUAGCGGCAGGCCUAACACAUGCAAGUCGAGGGAGAAGCCUUUCGGGGCAGAAACCGGCGCACGGGUGCGUAACGCGUAUGCAACCUACCUUUCACAGGGGGAUAGCCCGAAGAAAUUUGGAUUAAUACCCCAUAAUAUUGUUGGAUGGCAUCAUUUGACAAUUAAAACUGAGGUGGUGGAAGAUGGGCAUGCGUCCUAUUAGCUAGUUGGAGUGGUAACGGCACCCCAAGGCUACGAUAGGUAGGGGUCCUGAGAGGGAGAUCCCCCACACUGGUACUGAGACAGGGACCAGACUCCUACGGGAGGCAGCAGUGAGGAAUAUUGGUCAAUGGUCGGAAGACUGAACCAGCCAUGCCGCGUGCAGGAAGAAUGCCUUAUGGGUUGUAAACUGCUUUUAUAUGGGAAGAAUAAGGUGUAACGUGUA
RNAcentral lists this ribosomal RNA (433 nucleotides) under Capnocytophaga gingivalis. RNAcentral's name for it is "bacterial SSU rRNA". It matches the Rfam family "Bacterial small subunit ribosomal RNA", at positions 28 to 465 of the family's 1533-position model. Lineage: Bacteria; Pseudomonadati; Bacteroidota; Flavobacteriia; Flavobacteriales; Flavobacteriaceae. The record is from RNAcentral.